RNAcentral lists this ribosomal RNA (443 nucleotides) under uncultured bacterium. Its description in RNAcentral is "partial 16S ribosomal RNA". It matches the Rfam family "Bacterial small subunit ribosomal RNA", at positions 338 to 795 of the family's 1533-position model. The record is from RNAcentral.
CCUACGGGGGGCAGCAGUGGGGAAUAUUGGGCAAUGGGCGCAAGCCUGACCCAGCAACGCCGCGUGAAGGAAGAAGGCUCUCGGGUUGUAAACUUCUUUUAUUAGGGACGAAGCAAGUGACGGUACCUGAUGAAUAAGCCACGGCUAACUACGGGCCAGCAGCAGCGGUAAUACGGAGGUGGCAAGCGUCAUCCGGAUUUACUGGGGGUAAAGGGUGUGUAGGCGGGCAAGCAAGUCAGAUGUGAAAACCAUGGGCUCAACCUGUGGCUUGCAUUUGAAACUGUUUUGCUUGAGUACUGGAGAGGCAGACGGAAUUCCUAGUGUAGCGGUGAAAUGCGUAGAUAUUAGGAGGAACACCAGUUGCGAAGGCGGUCUGCUGGACAGCAACUGACGCUGAGGCGCGAAAGCGUGGGGAGCAAACAGGAUUAGAUACCCGGGUAGUC